GGGCCAGUUUUAAUGUCAAGGUCGACGGACUCAUAUUGAAACCUAGUGAUUUAUGAGUUAGUGGCGGACGGGUGAGUACCUCGUGGAUAACCUGCCGUAUACCGGGGGAUAACACUUACAUAUAGGUGCUAAUACCGCAUAAGCGCACGGCUCCGCAUGGGGCAGUGUGAAAAACUCCGGUGGUAUACGAUGGAUCCGCGUCUGACUAGCUAGUUGGCGGGGUAACGGCCCACCAAGGCAGCGAUCAGUAGCCGGCCUGAGAGGGUGGACGGCCACAUUGGGACUGAGACACGGCCCAAACUCCUACGGGAGGCAGCAGUGGGGAAUAUUGCACAAUGGGGGAAACCCUGAUGCAGCGACGCCGCGUGAGUGAAGAAGUAUCUCGGUACGUAAAGCUCUAUCAGCAGGGAAGAAAAUGACGGUACCUGACCAAGAAGCCCCGGCUAACUACGUGCCAGCAGCCGCGGUAAUACGUAGGGGGCAAGCGUUAUCCGGAUUUACUGGGUGUAAAGGGAGCGUAGACGGCAAUACAAGUCGGAAGUGAAAUACCCGGGCUCAACCUGGGAACUGCUUUGGAAACUGUAUGGCUGGAGUGCUGGAGAGGUAAGCGGAAUUCCUAGUGUAGCGGUGAAAUGCGUAGAUAUUAGGAGGAACACCAGUGGCGAAGGCGGCUUACUGGACAGUAACUGACGUUGAGGCUCGAAAGCGUGGGGAGCAAACAGGAUUAGAUACCCUGGUAGUCCACGCUGUAAACGAUGAAUACUAGGUGUUGGGUGCCAAANGCUCCCGGUGCCGUCGCA
This 800-nucleotide ribosomal RNA is filed under the name uncultured bacterium. Its description in RNAcentral is "bacterial SSU rRNA". It matches the Rfam family "Bacterial small subunit ribosomal RNA", at positions 40 to 853 of the family's 1533-position model. The record is from RNAcentral.